GAGUUUGAUCAUGGCUCAGAGCGAACGCUGGCGGCAGGCUUAACACAUGCAAGUCGAGCGGGCGUAGCAAUACGUCAGCGGCAGACGGGUGAGUAACGCGUGGGAACGUACCUUUUGGUUCGGAACAACACAGGGAAACUUGUGCUAAUACCGGAUAAGCCCUUACGGGGAAAGAUUUAUCGCCGAAAGAUCGGCCCGCGUCUGAUUAGCUAGUUGGUGAGGUAAUGGCUCACCAAGGCGACGAUCAGUAGCUGGUCUGAGAGGAUGAUCAGCCACAUUGGGACUGAGACACGGCCCAAACUCCUACGGGAGGCAGCAGUGGGGAAUAUUGGACAAUGGGCGCAAGCCUGAUCCAGCCAUGCCGCGUGAGUGAUGAAGGCCCUAGGGUUGUAAAGCUCUUUUGUGCGGGAAGAUAAUGACGGUACCGCAAGAAUAAGCCCCGGCUAACUUCGUGCCAGCCGCCGCCGUAAC
Molecule: ribosomal RNA, 471 nt
Filed under: uncultured Alphaproteobacteria bacterium
Lineage: Bacteria; Pseudomonadati; Pseudomonadota; Alphaproteobacteria
Description: bacterial SSU rRNA
Rfam family: Bacterial small subunit ribosomal RNA
Source: RNAcentral